GACGAACGCUGGCGGCGUGCUUAACACAUGCAAGUCGAACGGAAAGGCCCUGCUUUUGUGGGGUGCUCGAGUGGCGAACGGGUGAGUAACACGUGAGUAACCUGCCCUUGACUUUGGGAUAACUUCAGGAAACUGGGGCUAAUACCGGAUAGGAGCUCCUGCUGCAUGGUGGGGGUUGGAAAGUUUCGGCGGUUGGGGAUGGACUCGCGGCUUAUCAGCUUGUUGGUGGGGUAGUGGCUUACCAAGGCUUUGACGGGUAGCCGGCCUGAGAGGGUGACCGGCCACAUGGGGACUGAGAUACGGCCCAGACUCCUACGGGAGGCAGCAGUGGGGAAUAUUGCACAAGGGGCGGAAGCCGGAUGCAGCAACGCCGCGUGCGGGAUGACGGCCUUCGGGUGGUAAACCGCUUUCGCCUGUGACGAAGCGUGAGGGACGUAAUGGGUAAAGAAGCACCGGCUAACUACGUG
This 467-nucleotide ribosomal RNA is filed under the name uncultured bacterium. Its description in RNAcentral is "partial 16S ribosomal RNA". It matches the Rfam family "Bacterial small subunit ribosomal RNA", at positions 28 to 507 of the family's 1533-position model. The record is from RNAcentral.